UGGCGGACGGGUGAGUAACGCGUGGGUAACCUGCCUCACACUGGGGGAUAACAGUUAGAAAUAGCUGCUAAUACCGCAUAAGCGCACGGUUCCGCAUGGAACAGUGUGAAAAACUCCGGUGGUGUGAGAUGGACCCGCGUCUGAUUAGCCAGUUGGCGGGGUAACGGCCCACCAAAGCGACGAUCAGUAGCCGGCCUGAGAGGGUGAACGGCCACAUUGGGACUGAGACACGGUCCAA
This 238-nucleotide ribosomal RNA is filed under the name uncultured bacterium. RNAcentral's name for it is "partial 16S ribosomal RNA". It matches the Rfam family "Bacterial small subunit ribosomal RNA", at positions 96 to 334 of the family's 1533-position model. The record is from RNAcentral.